CCUACGGGUGGCUGCAGUGGGGAAUAUUGCACAAUGGGGGGAACCUUGAUGCAGCAACGCCGCGUGGGUGAAGAAGUACUCCGGUAUGUAAAGCCCUGUUAGCAGGGAAGAAAAUGACGGUACCUGACCAAGAAGCCCCGGCGAACUACGUGCCAGCAGCCGCGGUAAUACGUAGGGGGCAAGCGUUAUCCGGAUUUACGGGGUGUAAAGGGAGCGUAGACGGGAAGGCAAGUCUGGAGUGAAAGCCCGUGGCUCAACCAGGGGACAGCGUUGGAAACUGUGUUGCUGGAGUGCAGGAGAGGUAAGCGGAAUUCCUAGUGUAGCGGUGAAAUGCGUAGAUAUUAGGAGGAACACCAGUGGCGAAGGCGGCUUACUGGACUGUAACUGACGUUGAGGCUCGAAAGCGUGGGGAGCAAACAGGAUUAGAUACCCGGGUAGUC
Molecule: ribosomal RNA, 440 nt
Filed under: uncultured bacterium
Lineage: Bacteria
Description: partial 16S ribosomal RNA
Rfam family: Bacterial small subunit ribosomal RNA
Source: RNAcentral